RNAcentral lists this ribosomal RNA (716 nucleotides) under uncultured bacterium. RNAcentral's name for it is "bacterial SSU rRNA". It matches the Rfam family "Bacterial small subunit ribosomal RNA", at positions 771 to 1501 of the family's 1533-position model. The record is from RNAcentral.
AACAGGAUUAGAUACCCUGGUAGUCCACGCCGUAAACGAUGCUAACUCGUUUUUGGGUUUUCGGAUUCAGAGACUAAGCGAAAGUGAUAAGUUAGCCACCUGGGGAGUACGUUCGCAAGAAUGAAACUCAAAGGAAUUGACGGGGGCCCGCACAAGCGGUGGAUUAUGUGGUUUAAUUCGAUGAUACGCGAGGAACCUUACCAAGGCUUAAAUGGGAAUUGAUGGGUUUAGAAAUAGACCGUCCUUCGGGCAAUUUUCAAGGUGCUGCAUGGUUGUCGUCAGCUCGUGCCGUGAGGUGUUAGGUUAAGUCCUGCAACGAGCGCAACCCCUGCUACUAGUUGCUACCAUUAAGUUGAGGACUCUAGUAAGACUGCCUACGCAAGUAGAGAGGAAGGUGGGGAUGACGUCAAAUCAUCACGGCCCUUACGCCUUGGGCCACACACGUAAUACAAUGGCCGGUACAGAGGGCAGCUACCUAGCGAUAGGAUGCGAAUCUCGAAAGCCGGUCUCAGUUCGGAUUGGAGUCUGCAACUCGACUCUAUGAAGCUGGAAUCGCUAGUAAUCGCGCAUCAGCCAUGGCGCGGUGAAUACGUUCCCGGGCCUUGUACACACCGCCCGUCAAGCCAUGGAAGUCUGGGGUACCUGAAGUCGGUGACCGUAAAAGGAGCUGCCUAGGGUAAAACAGGUAACUAGGGCUAAGUCGUAACAAGGUAACC